RNAcentral lists this ribosomal RNA (520 nucleotides) under Pseudofusicoccum kimberleyense. RNAcentral's name for it is "eukaryotic LSU rRNA". The stretch from base 195 to 348 matches the Rfam family "5.8S ribosomal RNA". Lineage: Eukaryota; Fungi; Ascomycota; Dothideomycetes; Botryosphaeriales; Botryosphaeriaceae. The record is from RNAcentral.
GGAAGGAUCAUUACCGAGUUUUGGGUCUCUUCACCGAGCCCACUCUCCAACCCUUUGUGUACCUACCUCUGUUGCUUUGGCGGGCCGCGGUUCUCCGCGGCCGGCCCCCUAGCCGGGGCUGGCCUGCGCCCGCCAGAGGACCACAAAACUCCAGUCAGUGAACUUUGCUGUCUGAUAUAAAUUCAAUAAACUAAAACUUUCAACAACGGAUCUCUUGGUUCUGGCAUCGAUGAAGAACGCAGCGAAAUGCGAUAAGUAAUGUGAAUUGCAGAAUUCAGUGAAUCAUCGAAUCUUUGAACGCACAUUGCGCCCUUUGGUAUUCCGAAGGGCAUGCCUGUUCGAGCGUCAUUACACCCCUCAAGCUCUGCUUGGUAUUGGGCAGCGUCCUCUCGGACGCGCCUCAAAGACCUCGGCGGUGGCGUCUUGCCUCAAGCGUAGUAGAAAACACCUCGCUUUGGAGGACGGGACGACCGCUCGCCGGACGAACCUUUGAAUUCAUUUUCCUAGGUUGACCUCGGAU